GGCCAGAGACCGAUAGCGCGAACAAGUAGAGUGAUCGAAAGAUGAAAAGCACUUUGAAAAGAGGGUUAAACAGCACGUGAAAUUGUUAAAAGGGAAGCGCUUGUGACCAGACUUGCGUCCGGUGAAUCACCCAGCUCUCGCGGCUGGGGCACUUCGCCGGCUCAGGCCAGCAUCAGCUCGCUGUCGGGGACAAAAGCUUCAGGAACGUAGCUCUCUUCGGGGAGUGUUAUAGCCUGUUGCAUAAUACCCUUCGGCGGGCUGAGGUACGCGCUCCGCAAGGAUGCUGGCAUAAUGGUCAUCAGCGACCCGUCUUGAAACACGGACC
Molecule: ribosomal RNA, 325 nt
Filed under: Colletotrichum siamense
Lineage: Eukaryota; Fungi; Ascomycota; Sordariomycetes; Glomerellales; Glomerellaceae
Description: partial large subunit ribosomal RNA
Rfam family: Eukaryotic large subunit ribosomal RNA
Source: RNAcentral